CUGUGCGCCUUUUACCGCGCUGAACACUGGAAAGGACCCCACACCUGUGCUCCUUUUCGGUUGCCCCUUCUGUCRCUGCCGCUUUUAAAUGCAUCAACUCAGWCUCGAAUGUUAACAAAACCAUAAAAAGUAACAACUUUCAGCAACGGAUUUUUUGGCUUUGGCAUGGAUGAAGAACGCAGGGAAAUGCGAUAAGUAAUGUGAAUUGCAGAAUUCAGUGAUUCAUGGAAUCUUUGAACGCUUCUUGCGUUCCUUGGUAUUCCAUGGAGCAUGCCUGUUUGAGUGUCACGUAAACCUUCACCCUUGGGAUGUACCAGUCGCUCGCGGUGGACUUGGACUGUGCCGUAACCGGUUCGUCUUGAAAUCCAUUAGCGGGCGCUUUUAGAGUGUUGGGGGACGGUGUGAUAAUUUUUUGCGCCAAUGCCUUAGGCCUCUUCAGCGGUGCUGCUUACAGCCGUCCCUCUGUGGACACAUUUUUAAAGCUUGGCCUCAAAUCAGGUAGAUGCCAGUCCA
RNAcentral lists this ribosomal RNA (513 nucleotides) under Auricularia polytricha. Its description in RNAcentral is "partial 18S ribosomal RNA". The stretch from base 135 to 288 matches the Rfam family "5.8S ribosomal RNA". Lineage: Eukaryota; Fungi; Basidiomycota; Agaricomycetes; Auriculariales; Auriculariaceae. The record is from RNAcentral. RNAcentral also lists the same sequence under 1 other name.